This 253-nucleotide ribosomal RNA is filed under the name uncultured bacterium. Its description in RNAcentral is "partial 16S ribosomal RNA". It matches the Rfam family "Bacterial small subunit ribosomal RNA", at positions 524 to 776 of the family's 1533-position model. The record is from RNAcentral.
UACGUAGGGCGCAAGCGUUAUCCGGAAUUAUUGGGCGUAAAGAGCUCGUAGGCGGUUUGUCGCGUCUGCCGUGAAAGUCCGGGGCUCAACUCCGGAUCUGCGGUGGGUACGGGCAGACUAGAGUGAUGUAGGGGAGACUGGAAUUCCUGGUGUAGCGGUGAAAUGCGCAGAUAUCAGGAGGAACACCGGUGGCGAAGGCAGGUCUCUGGGCAUUAACUGACGCUGAGGAGCGAAAGCAUGGGAAGCGAACAGG